GCUGGGUGCAUUUGGCAGGUACCUGUAGUCUUAGCUACUCGGGAAGCUGAGACAGGUGGAUCAACUGGGCUCACAAGUUUCAGACCAGCCUGUACAACAUAGUGAGACCCUGUCUCAA
This 118-nucleotide small RNA is filed under the name Marmota monax (woodchuck). Lineage: Eukaryota; Metazoa; Chordata; Mammalia; Rodentia; Sciuridae. The record is from RNAcentral.